Molecule: non-coding RNA, 102 nt
Organism: Aplosporella prunicola CBS 121167
Lineage: Eukaryota; Fungi; Ascomycota; Dothideomycetes; Botryosphaeriales; Aplosporellaceae
Source: the annotation of a RefSeq genome assembly
GGUCGCUUAGCUCAGUUGGUUAGAGCGUGGUGCUAAUAAAUACAUCUUCCGAGAUGAUGAUUAUCAACGCCAAGGUCGUGGGUUCGACCCCCAUAGUGACCA